UGUCCAAAGAACAGAGUUGUUCCAGUUCAUUCCCAGCCGAAGGAUUCAUCCCAACAUCUCUCCCCUGUUCCCAAUCGGAUGAACAUCCCAAACGAUUGCCUCUCACAAUCUUCUUCCGAACUCACAGAUCUCCUCUCAUUCCAGAUUAACUUCAUCCACAGAUCCUCUACUCCCAGCCAAAUCCAACCUUUCUCUCGCGUCCAGCUUGCGUUCCGCGAUUGAAGCAUUGUGAUCUUAUCUCCCAGGUGUUCCAACCAUAUCAUCCUUCCCAAUUCUAUCCUCCCAUAUCCCACGUUCGGCCGAGUGCAUUAGAUCUCCCGUUCCAGAUAAACUACAUCAGUCAUUCCUCUUCCGAACCAAGCCAACUUCAUUUCAUCUCCUCCACAUUGAUUCUCCCACAUCCAGCAUCCAUGGAUAAAGAUCAAUCCCCUGCUCCACAUCACAGCAGAAUCCAGCCUUCAUCCCGUUGUGAUCCAUCUUCAUCCAAGUUCAUCCCCCAAACUUUCGGAUCAGCUCCAUCCACUCCUCACAUCUCAUUCACAAAUCCAACCAAACUCCCAGUGUCCGUGAUUCAUGGAUAACUCCCAGCUCGUUUUCUUCCUAGUGUCUACAUCCCCUCUUCAUCACGAAUCAAAACAACCACUUCCUCCUCCCAGAUCUCCCAGCUCGUAUCCAGCCUCACGCACAUCUCCCUGAUCUCCAGCCAACGACAGCACUUCCAAACUCCAGCCAGCUGCAAGUAAUCGCCCGAGCCACAAGCCAUCCGCACCUAUAGCAUCCGUGGAUGAACUUCUGAAGCCGAAUCCCAUGAUCUUCGCUCACGCGUCUUGCCCGCAUUCAUCCCAACAUCCACGGAAGAGAUGAAGCCUCCACGAGCUUAUCCUCCCAUUCAGAUCAGCCACAGAGGAGAAGAGAGGGGGGAGAUUGCAGCCUAUAAAAGGAGGAAACUUCUCUUGGCAACCAUCUUCUCUCAAGCGGAGUUCCCACAGAAAUAAAAGGAGAGAAAAUUUUUGGGUAUUUUGGGAAUGACUUCCCAUAAGAGCUAAGAAAGAGCCGUUCUCGGGGAAAUCGCAAGAGGAAUAGAAGAAAGAGAUGGGAGCCCGCUG
RNAcentral lists this long non-coding RNA (1106 nucleotides) under Phoenix dactylifera (date palm). RNAcentral's name for it is "long non-coding RNA (PDAC_LNC010997)". The record is from RNAcentral. Lineage: Eukaryota; Viridiplantae; Streptophyta; Magnoliopsida; Arecales; Arecaceae.